Molecule: long non-coding RNA, 583 nt
Organism: Eublepharis macularius
Lineage: Eukaryota; Metazoa; Chordata; Lepidosauria; Squamata; Eublepharidae
Exons: 3
Source: RefSeq, a predicted model, not a curated record
ACAGACAUUUGCACUGGAAUGCGGACGGUUCCGAUCUCCUGAUACGUUCCAAAAGCAAGCAAAAACAGUCCAAAUCAUUUUCUAGUCAUCUGGGGCUCGUUCCAUCAGUCACCUUCAGUUAUUUUUGGAUCCAGAACCCUUAAGGGGACUGCCCUUCUCCUUUCUUCCAAGAAAACCAAAGACUCAAAUCCUGAAGCUCGCACUCAUGACCCACCAGUUAAGCACCAUGCUUGUAUCCAGACGUUACAAACCAACCACAGUUUCUUCAUGGUGGCCCAGCAUCUUGCAAACCACUGGUGGAAACAGAAUUCUAGGCUAAACCGACCUUGGUCUGACCAAGCAAAGCCAUUUUUAUACUCUUAUGUUUGCGAAGCUCAAGUUGUGUGUGCUACAACGCUGCAAGAAUUCAUUAAUUACAUUCGUGCAAAAUGUUCUUUUCUCAUAUCCCACGUUAAGAGGGAUAUGUAUGUAUGUAUAGCACACAUAGCAUACAUUUAGAUUUAUAGCUAUAGGUUUACGCUUUGCUUUGUUAACUUUCCUUUCUCAUUGAGUAUAUAAAAAUAUUAUAGCUUAGCAAGCUUCA